RNAcentral lists this transfer RNA (73 nucleotides) under Myotis davidii. It matches the Rfam family "tRNA". Rfam says of the family: Transfer RNA (tRNA) molecules are approximately 80 nucleotides in length. Their secondary structure includes four short double-helical elements and three loops (D, anti-codon, and T loops). The record is from Rfam by way of RNAcentral. Lineage: Eukaryota; Metazoa; Chordata; Mammalia; Chiroptera; Vespertilionidae.
GCCAGUCUGGCUCAGUGGUAAGAGUGUCAGUCUAUUGACUGAAGGGUUGCAGGUUCGAUUCCAGUCAAGGGCA